UAUACACGAUAUAUGUAUAUAUAUCUAUGUAUACAUAUACUUAUAUAAUGCUUAAAAAAGUAACACUUUUCUUUUAAUCAAGAGGGCGCAUUUAAACUUCCGGCAUGUUUUGCGGUUUGAACGCAGCUUUUCGCUCUGUUAAAAAUUCCUUUAUAAAAGGUUUAAAUAUGCAAAAUAAAGACUCAGAAGAAGUGUCGGAAUCGAGUCUCGGACCAUCGAAGGAGGUUAUCCAAAAGAACGAAGAACCUAUUCUUCCUUGCUGUUCGUUAUAUGUUAACUAUAUUAUCUUUUUUACUUAAUUCCCUUUUCAUUUCCAUUCCUUUCUUUAUAUAUAUAUAUAUAUAUCUCCCUCUCCCUGCUUCUUUUCUCAACAUAUAAUUUUAGUCCUUUUCAUUGUCUAAUACAGUUUCGGAACACGUUACCAUGGACCAACUAAGAAAGAUGAAAACUGGACAAUUAUCGAGAAUAUGUCAAGAUUUAGAUAUUCCAUCAAGAGGUAGUAAAGCUGUACUUAGAAGUCGUAUUAUGGCAAUGCAACAGAGCGUAAAUUACAGGAACUUUGGCCCGAGAAAGGGAAGGGGAAUACUUGGCCAUAAAGUCGUAUGUUGCAUUCCUGGAUGCAAUAACUUCUCUGGUCAAGUCUUACCGGAUGGACACGAAAUAUCCCUUCAUCCUCUACCAACAGGUCCAAAACGUGACCGCAUUAGAACUGAAUGGAAAAGGCGUCUAGUCAACGCUGACGUUCGCCAUAUCACUGAUAACAUUAGGGUUUGUUCUACUCACUUCACGAAUAGAGUAAUGAAUGUUGAUUCUAUUCCAACGAUAUUCCCCAGAAAGUUGGAUAGAAUAGAAUUGCCCAGUCUUGAACUUAUGGGCGAAGAUGAAGAAUUUGAAUUAUUUACACCAAGAAUAAAGAAGCGAAAAUGUAGAAGGUUAUACUUUAAAAAUUUACGAAAAGACUCACCAAGAAAUGAGUCAUUCCCAGGCCCGUCCAGGAUGAAUUGGUUUUGACUUGAAAAGGAAAAAAAAAAGAAAAAAGCCGAAAAAAAAUAAAAAAGAAAGAAGAAAACAAGGUUGUUAUUUAGGUGAAAUACAUAUAAAUGUUUAAUGCAUAUAUAGAUAUACAUAUAUAUAUGUAUAAGGUAUACUUGAUUAAAAAUCAAAAAGUUGUAUUAAUUGUACUAUCUGUUAGGGUUAUAACUCCCAUAUAUAUACAUAUAUAUGUAUAUAUAUAUACAAGAUUAGUUUGAGAAAGAGAUAGAGAGAGAAAGAGAAGGAGAGAGGCGAAAGGAAGAAAAUUAUACCUUUGAUAAUAACUUUUUUGUUCUUCCUACAAUGAUAUUAUUGUCGAUUACUUUACGUCAACGUUUAUAAACGCUAAAAAAACCGUCAUGGUUUCCAUUAACCGUGAUGGAGUUUUCUUUCUCUCCCUCCCCCGCCCUUUUUAGAUUUAUUUCUUUUCUUAUUUCUCUCUUUCUCUCUUUUUGGAUAUAUUUGAUGAACAAAUUUGGAUAAUAAGUCUAUAAUUUCUUAUUUAAUGUAUUCCGUUUAUUUUGUUCUUUUUUCCUUUGGAAUUGUUUAUUUAUUAAUCUAUUCUUUCUUUCUUUCGCUCCUUCUUUAUCAUAUGUAUUAGUGUACAUUUAUUUAAUAAAGAGUAUAUAGCAUACGUCAUGUUAUUGUCUUUGUUGACCCAUCUGUUUAUGUCUGUUGUUUGUCACACACACAGACUUAUAUAUAUAUAGAUGCAUAUAUAUAUAUAAUAUGCUUGUGUCAGCAAAUAUUUGAAUAUAUUUUGAAUAAAAAGGUAAAAUUUAAAGAAAGCAAAAUUAAA
RNAcentral lists this unclassified non-coding RNA (1831 nucleotides) under Dimorphilus gyrociliatus. RNAcentral describes it as "tHAP-type domain-containing protein". Lineage: Eukaryota; Metazoa; Annelida; Polychaeta; Dinophilidae. The record is from RNAcentral.